Molecule: long non-coding RNA, 512 nt
Organism: Anneissia japonica
Lineage: Eukaryota; Metazoa; Echinodermata; Crinoidea; Comatulida; Comatulidae
Exons: 3
Source: RefSeq, a predicted model, not a curated record
UGCAAUAUGCGAGGGUUAUAUAAUCCUAAUCUGGUUUAUGCCGUCCUGUAUAUUGUAUAUACAACCAGAUUACAACAGUUUAAUUACUAUACUAGAACAGCCUCAAACGCCGGGAACCAGCGUAGAUUUUUAAACCAAUUUCUAAAUACGCCAUUUUGGAAUUCAUCUGAAUUAUAACUGUAAACACACGCAUUUACAGGGUUUUUUUUAAUUCAAAAUAGUACGUAUACAGAAAAUAUUGUAUGCAAGCAGUUAAACUGGGAGCAAUUUUAUGCUUAACAGAACAUGCAUAAGCCUACAGUUUUGAAUCCAAGAUUUACCCUGUCAGAUGGAUUUAAUGUUUGACCUCAGCGGUAGAUUGUUUAAUUUAAUUUCUAUGCAGAGAGAAUCAAUAUACAUUUCAAUAACAGGCUGUGAAGAGAAGUCUGAAAAAUUACUCUGGAAAUCUGUUCUGUUGGACACCACAAACAAUUAUCUAAUCAUUAUGUAUGCAAUUCAUUAUAUACAAUGUC